This 153-nucleotide non-coding RNA is filed under the name unclassified sequences. RNAcentral's name for it is "RT-16 RNA". It matches the Rfam family "RT-16 RNA". Rfam says of the family: candidate division DUSEL4 (Archaea). The record is from Rfam by way of RNAcentral.
UCCAGGCAAGAACAUUGUCUGGGCCACACGUCUUCCAAUCUGAACGCAUUCAUUAUUUAGCGUUCGGGUGCAAUACAGCCGCAACACUGAGUAGCGUGAUAGCGUGAAAUCGUGAAGCGGCAGUGGUUUAUUUCGGUUGGAAGACUACCCGGU